GGCGGUUCUCGGGUGACACGCUCCACCCCCCCCCCCUGGAAUCGGGCUCCCUCCUCUCUGGUUCUGGGGUACGUCACCUGAGAACCACC
This is a non-coding RNA of Myotis davidii, 89 nucleotides long. The record is from Rfam. Lineage: Eukaryota; Metazoa; Chordata; Mammalia; Chiroptera; Vespertilionidae.